This is a long non-coding RNA of Dendrobium catenatum, 337 nucleotides long. RefSeq lists it as uncharacterized. The record is from RefSeq and is a predicted model, not a curated record. NCBI's taxonomy places the organism in Eukaryota, Viridiplantae, Streptophyta, Magnoliopsida, Asparagales, Orchidaceae. The transcript has 2 exons.
UGUUGACAAAGAGGCGAAAACUGGUUUGUAUGCAUGUAUGGACAAAAUCAUUUCUGAAGAAGACUACCUCAAAGUGAAUGAUCAACUUGAGGAUUUUCAUUUGAAGAAGGGAAUGUUUGGAUUUAGAGCAGCACAAGCAUGCUACAAAACACGAUCUCCUGAACGUUGGUGGGCUCAGUUUGGAGAUGAUGUUCCUGAAUUGAAAGCUUUUGCAGUUAAAGUUCUUAGCCUAACGUGUUCGGCUUCUGCAUGCGAGCGUAAUUGGAGUAUCUUCAAUCAAAUUCAUACAAAGAGAAGAAAUCGAUUAGCGGCAAAUCGAAUGAACAAACUAGUUUAU